RNAcentral lists this ribosomal RNA (497 nucleotides) under uncultured bacterium. Its description in RNAcentral is "partial 16S ribosomal RNA". It matches the Rfam family "Bacterial small subunit ribosomal RNA", at positions 28 to 507 of the family's 1533-position model. The record is from RNAcentral.
GAUGAACGCUGGCGGCGUGCCUAAUACAUGCAAGUCGAGCGAACAGACGAGGAGCUUGCUCCUCUGACGUUAGCGGCGGACGGGUGAGUAACACGUGGAUAACCUACCUAUAAGACUGGGAUAACUUCGGGAAACCGGAGCUAAUACCGGAUAAUAUAUUGAACCGCAUGGUUCAAUAGUGAAAGACGGUUUUGCUGUCACUUAUAGAUGGAUCCGCGCCGCAUUAGCUAGUUGGUAAGGUAACGGCUUACCAAGGCAACGAUGCGUAGCCGACCUGAGAGGGUGAUCGGCCACACGGGAACUGAGACACGGUCCAGACGCCUACGGGAGGCAGCAGUAGGGAAUCUUCCGCAGUGGGCGAAAGCCUGACGGAGCAACGCCGCGUGAGAGAUGAAGGUCUUCGGAUCGUAAAAAUCGGUUAUUAGGGAAGAACAAAUGUGUAAGUAACUAUGCACGUCUUGACGGUAACUAAUAAGAAAGCCACGGCUAACUACGUG